CUAUCCAUGAGCAGGCUGAAGCGGUGGUAAGACACCGUGGAGGGCCGCACCCACGUCUGUUGAAAAAGCCGGGGAUGACUUGUGGAUAGCGGAGAAAUUCCAAUCGAACUCGGAGAUAGCUGGUUCUCCCCGAAAUAGCUUUAGGGCUAGCGUUAUUUUAGAUUACCGGAGGUAAAGCACUGAAUGGUCUAGGGGCCGCGAGGUUACCAAAGCCUAUCAAACUCUGAAUGCCGGAUAAUUGAUGAAUAGCAGUCAGACUGUGUGAGAUAAGUCUCAUAGUCAAAAGGGAAACAGCCCAGAUCUACAGCUAAGGUCCCAAAUGAACACUAAGUGGAAAAUGAUGUGAAACUGCGAAGACAACCAGGAUGUUGGCUUAGAAGCAGCCACUCAUUCAAAGAGUGCGUAAUAGCUCACUGGUCGAGUGGUUUUGCGCAGAAAAUGUAACGGGGCUAAGUGUUCAACCGAAGCUUAGGCAUUGUACUUUGUACAUUGGGUAGGGGAGCGUCGUAUGCGGGGCGAAGUCAGAGCGGAAGCACUGGUGGACUGCAUACGAGUGAGAAUGCCGGAAUAAGUAGCGAGAAUUAUGUGAGAAUCAUAAUGGCCGAAAAUCUAAGGUUUCUUGGGGAAGGUUCGUCCGCCCAAGGUUAGUCGGGAGCUAAGCUCAGGCCGAAAGGCGUAGGCGAUGCACAUACGGUAGAAAUUCCGUAACCACCGAACAUUUAAGCUAGAGGGACGCUUUCUUUAAGGUUAUCCCGGGCGAUGGUUGCCCCGGGCGUAAGGGACCGAAAUAUAGUAGGGAAGUAACUGGCGAGAGAGACGAGAAAAGCUCUAGUGUAUACUAAGGUGCCCGUACCGCAAACCGACACAGGUAGAUGGGAUGAGUAUUCUAAGGCCAACGGGAGAAGGGUUGUUAAGGAACUCGGCAAAUUGGCCCCGUAACUUCGGGAUAAGGGGCGCCUGCGAGAGCAGGCCGCAGUGAAAAGGCCCAAGCGACUGUUUAGCAAAAACACAGCUCUCUGCUAAAUCGAAAGAUGACGUAUAGGGGGUGACGCCUGCCCGGUGCUGGAAGGUUAAGGGGAGUGCUUAGCGCAAGCGAAGGUGCGAACUUAAGCCCCAGUAAACGGCGGCCGUAACUAUAACGGUCCUAAGGUAGCGAAAUUCCUUGUCAGGUAAGUUCUGACCCGCACGAAUGGCGUAACGAUUUGGGCACUGUCUCAACAGCCCGCCCGGCGAAAUUGUAGUACCGGUGAAGAUGCCGGUUUCCCGCAACUAGACGGAAAGACCCCAUGGAGCUUCACUGUAGCUUGAUAUUGGAUCUCGGUAUUCCAUGUACAGGAUAGGUGGGAGGCUAGGAAGCGAGCGCGCCAGCGUUCGUGGAGCCAACCUUGGGAUACCACUCUUGGGAUAUUGGGAUUCUAACCUGCGACCAUGAAUCUGGUCGGGGGACACUGUCAGGUGGGCAGUUUGACUGGGGCGGUCGCCUCCAAAA
This 1489-nucleotide ribosomal RNA is filed under the name Butyricicoccus sp. OM06-6AC. Its description in RNAcentral is "bacterial LSU rRNA". It matches the Rfam family "Bacterial large subunit ribosomal RNA", at positions 730 to 2294 of the family's 2925-position model. Lineage: Bacteria; Bacillati; Bacillota; Clostridia; Eubacteriales; Butyricicoccaceae. The record is from RNAcentral.